RNAcentral lists this ribosomal RNA (477 nucleotides) under uncultured bacterium. Its description in RNAcentral is "bacterial SSU rRNA". It matches the Rfam family "Bacterial small subunit ribosomal RNA", at positions 328 to 793 of the family's 1533-position model. The record is from RNAcentral.
CGCUAUCACUCCUACGGGGAGGCAGCAGUGGGGAAUAUUGCACAAUGGGGGAAACCCUGAUGCAGCCAUGCCGCGUGUGUGAAGAAGGCCUUCGGGUUGUAAAGCACUUUCAGUAGGGAGGAAGGUAGUGUAGUUAACACCUGCAUUAUUUGACGUUACCUACAGAAGAAAGCACCGGCUAACUCCGUGCCAGCAGCCGCGGUAAUACGGAGGGUGCGAGCGUUAAUCGGAAUUACUGGGCGUAAAGCGCAUGCAGGCGGCCUGUUAAGUCAGAUGUGAAAGCCCGGGGCUUAACCUCGGAAUUGCAUUUGAAACUGGCAGGCUAGAGUCUUGUAGAGGGGGGUAGGAAUUUCAGGUGUAGCGGUGAAAUGCGUAGAGAUCUGAAGGAAUACCAGUGGCGAAGGCGGCCCCCUCGGACAAAGACUGACGCUCAGAUGCGAAAGCGUGGGGAGCAAACAGGAUUAGAUACCCUGGUAG